This 256-nucleotide ribosomal RNA is filed under the name uncultured bacterium. RNAcentral describes it as "partial 16S ribosomal RNA". It matches the Rfam family "Bacterial small subunit ribosomal RNA", at positions 524 to 777 of the family's 1533-position model. The record is from RNAcentral.
UACGUAGGGUGCAAGCGUUAAUCGGAAUUACUGGGCGUAAAGCGUGCGCAGGCGGUUUUGUAAGUCUGUCGUGAAAUCCCCCGGGCUCAACCUGGGAAUUGCGAUGGAGACUGCAAGGCUAGAAUCUGGCAGAGGGGGGUAGAAUUCCACGUGUAGCAGUGAAAUGCGUAGAGAUGCGGAGGAACACCGGUGGCGAAGGCGGCGAUCUGGGGAAGAUACUGACGCUGAGGUGCGAAAGCGUGGGGAGCAAACAGGG